RNAcentral lists this ribosomal RNA (524 nucleotides) under uncultured bacterium. RNAcentral describes it as "partial 16S ribosomal RNA". It matches the Rfam family "Bacterial small subunit ribosomal RNA", at positions 28 to 523 of the family's 1533-position model. The record is from RNAcentral.
GACGAACGCUGGCGGCGUGCCUAAUACAUGCAAGUCGAGCGCAGGAAACUGACGGAACUCUUCGGAGGGAAGGCAGUGGAAUGAGCGGCGGACGGGUGAGUAACACGUAAGGAACCUGCCUCAAGGAUUGGGAUAACUCCGAGAAAUCGGAGCUAAUACCGGAUAGUUCAACGGACCGCAUGGUCCGCUGAUGAAAGGCGCUCCGGCGUCACCUUGAGAUGGCCUUGCGGUGCAUUAGCUAGUUGGUGGGGUAAUGGCCCACCAAGGCGACGAUGCAUAGCCGACCUGAGAGGGUGAUCGGCCACACUGGGACUGAGACACGGCCCAGACUCCUACGGGAGGCAGCAGUAGGGAAUCUUCCACAAUGGACGAAAGUCUGAUGGAGCAACGCCGCGUGAGUGAUGAAGGUUUUCGGAUCGUAAAACUCUGUUGUAAGGGAAGAACACGUACGAGAGGAAAUGCUCGUACCUUGACGGUACCUUACGAGAAAGCCACGGCUAACUACGUGCCAGCAGCCGCAGUAA